UUAUUAUCCCAAACACUGUCCUUAACGAAAAAAUUAUCUUUUGUUAUCCACUUUGAGCCUAUUUAGCUUUUAUUCUUUAACCGGAUGAUAGGGGGUGAUGAAGUAUAUGGGGAUCUUUGUGUGGUGAAUAUUCAUAGUGGGUUGUGAAAAAAAAAGGGAUGCAUUUGUGUUACUAUUUACUCUUAUAAGCUCUAGAAAAGUUGUGGAAAGAAAAAAAAAGUUGUUAGAAGAAAAAAAAGGAAAAAAAAGUGAAGUCGAGUGUACAUUGAGAAAUUUGUUAGAAAAUCGACUUUGUUUGUUGGAAAUAAAUGGAGAGCAUAAAAGAGUGUUUAGUUUUGUAUGGUGAUGAUUAAAUCCCUUGAGUUGUGUUGUUUAUGGUGACAUAGUUGGGUGGAAGAUGGAAUUUAUUCCAUAUUUGAUUAGUGAAGUCAUAAGGUUGGUGUUCUUGAUCUAUUUGAGUCACUUAGCCUAUAUUUCCCUACCUUAACCAAUGUCCCUACAUUAUAACCCGAAGAAAAAGACCUUUUUGAUCUUAGUCCUGGCACACUUUUAGCGAUGGAGAUUGUAGACGAUUGGCAAGCUUAUGGUAAGUGAUCUACAUUGUAUUGAAUUCGAUGAGAGCAUACACGUCCUAUCUAUUCCAUCAAAUUGAGAGUUGAGUGAUACACAUNGAAUGAAUAUUCAUUAGUGGGUUGUGAAAAAGAAGGGAUGAUUUUGUGUACUUUUUACUUUUUACUUAGUUAAGUGGUAGUAAAAGAAAAAGUAAAAGAAAGAAAGAAAAAAAAAGAAAAAGAAAAAGAAAGAGAAAAGAAAAAAAUAUAAAGUCGAAUGUUUAUUGAGAAAUUUGUUAGAAAAUCGACUUUGUUUGUUGGAAAUAAAUGGAGAGCAUAAAAGAGUGUUUAGUUUUAUAUUUUGAUGAUUUAAUCCCUUGAAUUGUGCUGUUUAUGGUGGCAUAGUUAGGUGGAAGAUGGAAUUUAUUCCAUAUUUGAUUUGUGAAGUUAUAAGGUUGGUGUUCUUGAUCUAUUUGAGUCACUUAGCCUAUAUUUCCCUACCUUAACCAAUGUCCCUACAUUAUAACCCGAAGAAAAAGACCUUUUUGAUCUUAGUCCUG
Molecule: long non-coding RNA, 1111 nt
Filed under: Salvia miltiorrhiza (redroot sage)
Lineage: Eukaryota; Viridiplantae; Streptophyta; Magnoliopsida; Lamiales; Lamiaceae
Description: long non-coding RNA (SMIL_LNC005198)
Source: RNAcentral